UUAGUACUUCAUCCGUCCGAAAAAAUUUGUCCCAAGUUUGUCUUUCAAAUGGAUGUAUCUAGCACUAACUUAGGGCCAGAUACAUCCAUUUGAGGGACAAGAUUUUUCGAACGAAGGGAGUAAUUA
Triticum urartu is the source of this 126-nucleotide non-coding RNA. NCBI's taxonomy places the organism in Eukaryota, Viridiplantae, Streptophyta, Magnoliopsida, Poales, Poaceae. The record is from Rfam.